This 254-nucleotide ribosomal RNA is filed under the name uncultured bacterium. Its description in RNAcentral is "partial 16S ribosomal RNA". It matches the Rfam family "Bacterial small subunit ribosomal RNA", at positions 524 to 776 of the family's 1533-position model. The record is from RNAcentral.
UACAGAGGUCCCGAGCGUUGUUCGGAUUCAUUGGGCGUAAAGGGCGCGUAGGCGGUCGUGACAAGUCACUUGUGAAAUCUCCGGGCUUAACUCGGAACGGUCAAGUGAUACUGUCGGACUAGAGUACAGAAGGGGCAACUGGAAUUCUCGGUGUAGCGGUGAAAUGCGUAGAUAUCGAGAGGAACACCUGCGGCGAAGGCGGGUUGCUGGGCUGAUACUGACGCUGAGGCGCGAAAGCCAGGGGAGCGAACGGG